This 825-nucleotide ribosomal RNA is filed under the name Streptococcus sanguinis. Its description in RNAcentral is "bacterial SSU rRNA". It matches the Rfam family "Bacterial small subunit ribosomal RNA", at positions 87 to 899 of the family's 1533-position model. The record is from RNAcentral. Lineage: Bacteria; Bacillati; Bacillota; Bacilli; Lactobacillales; Streptococcaceae.
UUGGAUGAGUUGCGAACGGGUGAGUAACGCGUAGGUAACCUGCCUGGUAGCGGGGGAUAACUAUUGGAAACGAUAGCUAAUACCGCAUGAUAUUAAUUAUCGCAUGAUAAUUAAUUGAAAGAUGCAAUUGCAUCACUACCAGAUGGACCUGCGUUGUAUUAGCUAGUUGGUGAGGUAACGGCUCACCAAGGCGACGAUACAUAGCCGACCUGAGAGGGUGAUCGGCCACACUGGGACUGAGACACGGCCCAGACUCCUACGGGAGGCAGCAGUAGGGAAUCUUCGGCAAUGGGGGGAACCCUGACCGAGCAACGCCGCGUGAGUGAAGAAGGUUUUCGGAUCGUAAAGCUCUGUUGUAAGAGAAGAACGGGUGUGAGAGUGGAAAGUUCACACUGUGACGGUAUCUUACCAGAAAGGGACGGCUAACUACGUGCCAGCAGCCGCGGUAAUACGUAGGUCCCGAGCGUUGUCCGGAUUUAUUGGGCGUAAAGCGAGCGCAGGCGGUUAGAUAAGUCUGAAGUUAAAGGCUGUGGCUUAACCAUAGUAUGCUUUGGAAACUGUUUAACUUGAGUGCAGAAGGGGAGAGUGGAAUUCCAUGUGUACCGGUGAAAUGCGUAGAUAUAUGGAGGAACACCGGUGGCGAAAGCGGCUCUCUGGUCUGUAACUGACGCUGAGGCUCGAAAGCGUGGGGAGCAAACAAGAUUAGAUACCCUGAUAGUCCGCGCCGCAAACGAUGAGUGCUAGGUGUAAGGCCCUUUCCGGGGCUUAGUGCCGCAGCUAACGCAUUAAGCACUCCGCCUGGGGAGUACGACCGCAAGGUUGAAA